UACGUAGGGUGCAAGCGUUGUCCGGAAUUAUUGGGCGUAAAGAGCUCGUAGGCGGUUUGUCGCGUCUGCUGUGAAAACUCGGGGCUUAACCCCGGGCCUGCAGUGGGUACGGGCAGACUAGAGUGCGGUAGGGGAGACUGGAAUUCCUGGUGUAGCGGUGAAAUGCGCAGAUAUCAGGAGGAACACCGGUGGCGAAGGCGGGUCUCUGGGCCGUAACUGACGCUGAGGAGCGAAAGCGUGGGGAGCGAACAGGG
RNAcentral lists this ribosomal RNA (254 nucleotides) under uncultured bacterium. RNAcentral describes it as "partial 16S ribosomal RNA". It matches the Rfam family "Bacterial small subunit ribosomal RNA", at positions 524 to 777 of the family's 1533-position model. The record is from RNAcentral.